RNAcentral lists this ribosomal RNA (446 nucleotides) under uncultured bacterium. Its description in RNAcentral is "partial 16S ribosomal RNA". It matches the Rfam family "Bacterial small subunit ribosomal RNA", at positions 338 to 795 of the family's 1533-position model. The record is from RNAcentral.
CCUACGGGUGGCAGCAGUCGAGAAUCAUUCACAAUGGGGGAAACCCUGAUGGUGCGACGCCGCGUGGGGGAAUGAAGGUCUUCGGAUUGUAAACCCCUGUCAUGUGGGAGCAAAUUAAAAAGAUAGUACCACAAGAGGAAGAGACGGCUAACUCUGUGCCAGCAGCCGCGGUAAUACAGAGGUCUCAAGUGUUGUUCGGAAUCACGGGGCGUAAAGGGUGCGUAGGCUGUUUAGUAAGUCGGGUGUGAAAGGCGCGGGCUCAACCCGCGGACGGCACAUGAUACUGGGAGACUAGAGUAAAGGAGGGGGAACUGGAAUUCUUGGUGGAGCAGUGAAAUGCGUAGAUAUCGAGAGGAACACUCGUGGCGAAGGCGGGUUCCUGGACAUUAACUGACGCUGAGGCACGAAGGCCAGGGGAGCGAAAGGGAUUAGAUACCCCAGUAGUC